This 261-nucleotide ribosomal RNA is filed under the name uncultured Enterococcaceae bacterium. RNAcentral describes it as "partial 16S ribosomal RNA". It matches the Rfam family "Bacterial small subunit ribosomal RNA", at positions 524 to 784 of the family's 1533-position model. The record is from RNAcentral. Lineage: Bacteria; Bacillati; Bacillota; Bacilli; Lactobacillales; Enterococcaceae.
UACGUAGGUGGCAAGCGUUGUCCGGAUUUAUUGGGCGUAAAGCGAGCGCAGGCGGUUCCUUAAGUCUGAUGUGAAAGCCCCCGGCUCAACCGGGGAGGGUCAUUGGAAACUGGGAGACUUGAGUGCAGAAGAGGAGAGUGGAAUUCCAUGUGUAGCGGUGAAAUGCGUAGAUAUAUGGAGGAACACCAGUGGCGAAGGCGGCUCUCUGGUCUGUAACUGACGCUGAGGCUCGAAAGCGUGGGGAGCAAACAGGAUUAGAUA